GGAGUAAGUCAGACGGUUGCGCCUUAUUUAAAGGUGAGGAAAGUCCGGGCUUUACAGAGCAGGGUGCCGGCUAACGGCCGGCGGAGGCGACUUUAGGGAUAGUGCAACAGAAAAUAAACGCCAACACAUUGUUGGUAAGUGUGGAAACGUGCGGUAAGAGCGCACGGCGUCCAUAGGUAACUAUGGAGGCGUGUAAACCCCACCCAAAGCAACUUUGGGAACGUUAAGCUUGCUCGGCGUGUUCCCUUGAAAGGCUUGAGCGUACUGGUAACUUUACGUCGAGAUAGAUAAUCGUCAAAUACAGAAUCCGGCUUACAGAUUUGCUCCUUUA
RNAcentral lists this RNase P RNA (331 nucleotides) under Lachnospiraceae bacterium MD329. Its description in RNAcentral is "Bacterial RNase P class A". It matches the Rfam family "Bacterial RNase P class A". From Rfam's summary of the family: Ribonuclease P (RNase P) is a ubiquitous endoribonuclease, found in archaea, bacteria and eukarya as well as chloroplasts and mitochondria. Its best characterised activity is the generation of mature 5'-ends of tRNAs by cleaving the 5'-leader elements of precursor-tRNAs. Cellular RNase Ps are ribonucleoproteins. The record is from Rfam by way of RNAcentral. Lineage: Bacteria; Bacillati; Bacillota; Clostridia; Lachnospirales; Lachnospiraceae.